UACGUAGGGGGCAAGCGUUGUCCGGAAUCAUUGGGCGUAAAGCGCACGUAGGCGGCCCGGUAAGUCCGUUGUGAAAGUCAAAGGCUCAACCUUUGAAAGCCGAUGGAUACUGCGGAGCUAGAGUACGGAAGAGGCGAGUGGAAUUCCUGGUGUAGCGGUGGAAUGCGCAGAUAUCAGGAGGAACACCAAUAGCGAAGGCAGCUCGCUGGGACGUUACUGACACUGAGGCGCGAAAGCGUGGGGAGCGAACAGG
RNAcentral lists this ribosomal RNA (253 nucleotides) under uncultured bacterium. RNAcentral's name for it is "partial 16S ribosomal RNA". It matches the Rfam family "Bacterial small subunit ribosomal RNA", at positions 524 to 776 of the family's 1533-position model. The record is from RNAcentral.